CGGGACGGGUGGGUAAUGUCUGGGAAACGUCUCGAUGGAGGGGGAUAACUACUGGAAACGGUAGCUAAUACCGCAUAACGUCGCAAGACCAAAGAGGGGGACCUUCGGGCCUCUUGCCAUCGGAUGUGCCCAGAUGGGAUUAGCUAGUAGGUGGGGUAACGGCUCACCUAGGCGACGAUCCCUAGCUGGUCUGAGAGGAUGGCCAGCCACACUGGAACUGAGACACGGUCCAG
RNAcentral lists this ribosomal RNA (233 nucleotides) under uncultured bacterium. Its description in RNAcentral is "partial 16S ribosomal RNA". It matches the Rfam family "Bacterial small subunit ribosomal RNA", at positions 100 to 334 of the family's 1533-position model. The record is from RNAcentral.